CCUACGGGAGGCAGCAGUGAGGAAUAUUGGUCAAUGGACGCGAGCCUGAACCAGCCAAGUCGCGUGAAGGAAGACUGCCCUACGGGUUGUAAACUUCUUUUAUAGAGGAGUAAAGAGAGGCACGUGUGCCUUUUUGUGUGUACUUUAAGAAUAAGCAUCGGCGAACUCCGUGCCAGCAGCCGCGGUAAUACGGAGGAUCCGAGCGUUAUCCGGAUUUAUUGGGUUGAAAGGGAGCGUAGACGGGUUGUGAAGUCAGCUGUGAAAGUGCGGGGCUCAACCGUAAAAUUGCAUUUGAUACUGGCAGGUUUGAGUGCAGUUGAGGUAUGCGGAAUGCGUGGUGUAGCGGUGAAAUGCUUAGAUAUCACGAAGAACUCCGAUUGCGAAGGCAGCUUACUGGACUGCAACUGACGCUGAUGCACGAAAGUGUGGGUAUCAAACAGGAUUAGAUACCCGGGUAGUC
Molecule: ribosomal RNA, 460 nt
Filed under: uncultured bacterium
Lineage: Bacteria
Description: partial 16S ribosomal RNA
Rfam family: Bacterial small subunit ribosomal RNA
Source: RNAcentral